CGCGUAGGCGGCUUGACAAGUCACUUGUGAAAUCUCCGGGCUUAACUCGGAACGGCCAAGUGAAACUGUCAUGCUAGAGUGCAGAAGGGGCAAUCGGAAUUCUUGGUGUAGCGGUGAAAUGCGUAGAUAUCAAGAGGAACACCUGAGGUGAAGACGGGUUGCUGGGCUGACACUGACGCUGAGGCGCGAAAGCCAGGGAGCAAACG
This 206-nucleotide ribosomal RNA is filed under the name uncultured bacterium. RNAcentral describes it as "partial 16S ribosomal RNA". It matches the Rfam family "Bacterial small subunit ribosomal RNA", at positions 568 to 774 of the family's 1533-position model. The record is from RNAcentral.